This 489-nucleotide ribosomal RNA is filed under the name uncultured bacterium. Its description in RNAcentral is "partial 16S ribosomal RNA". It matches the Rfam family "Bacterial small subunit ribosomal RNA", at positions 30 to 507 of the family's 1533-position model. The record is from RNAcentral.
UUGAACGCUGGCGGCAGGCCUAACACCUGCAAGUCGAAUGGUAACAGGAAACAGCUUGCUGUUUCGCUGACGAGUGGCGGACGGGUGAGUAAUGUCUGGGAAACUGCCUGAUGGAGGGGGAUAACUACUGGAAACGGUAGCUAAUACCGCAUAACGUCGCAAGACCAAAGAGGGGGACCUUCGGGCCUCUUGCCAUCAGAUGUGCCCAGAUGGGAUUAGCUAGUAGGUGGGGUAACGGCUCACCUAGGCGACGAUCCCUAGCUGGUCUGAGAGGAUGACCAGCCACACUGGAACUGAGACACGGUCCAGACUCCUACGGGAGGCAGCAGUGGGGAAUAUUGCACAAUGGGCGCAAGCCUGAUGCAGCCAUGCCGCGUGUAUGAAGAAGGCCUUCGGGUUGUAAAGUACUUUCAGCGGGGAGGAAGGGAGUAAAGUUAAUACCUUUGCUCAUUGACGUUACCCGCAGAAGAAGCACCGGCUAACUCCGUG